Molecule: ribosomal RNA, 525 nt
Filed under: Calopteryx aequabilis
Lineage: Eukaryota; Metazoa; Arthropoda; Insecta; Odonata; Calopterygidae
Description: partial 16S ribosomal RNA
Source: RNAcentral
AUGUAUGAUAUUAAAGGUCGAACAGACCUAUAAAUCAAGCUACUACACCUGAUUAUUAUCUUAAUCCAACAUCGAGGUCGCAAGCCUUCCUGUAAAUUUGAACUCUGGAGGAAGAUUACGCUGUUAUCCCUAAGGUAACUUAGUCUAAUAAUCAAUAAUAAUGGAUCUAAAAAUCAUAAAUUAAUGUAAAAUAAAUAAUAAAAGUUAAUUGUAUAUUCUUUGUCACCCCAACAAAAAAGUUAAAUUAAUAGCUUUAAAAAAUUAAAUAAUAAUAGCAAUAAAAAUAAACCUUAAAGCUCUAUAGGGUCUUCUCGUCCCUCAAAAAAAUCGGAGCCUUUUGACUCAAAAGCUAAAUUCAAUAUUAUUAAACCGAGACAGUUAGUACUUCGUCAAACCUUUCAUUCCAGCCUUCUAUUAAAAGACUAAUGAUUAUGCUACCUUUGCACGGUCAAAAUACCGCGGCCGUUAAAAAUAAAUUCACCGGCAGGCAUGACCUCACAUAAAACACAAGAGGUCAUGUUUUUG